GUGCAUCGCGGGGUUCGGACUGCGUUGUGGCAGACGUAAGAUAGGGAACGGACUGGGAAGUCCGGCCGGAGAGAGUGAAAGCCUCGUAUCCGAAAUCCCAAGGCGCCUGGCAGGAUCCAGAGUAGGACGAGACACGAGAAACCUUGUCUGAACGAACGGGGACCAACCCGUAAGGCUAAAUACUUCUUAGUGACCGAUAGCGCCGAGGACUGUGAAGGAAAGGGGAAAAGUACCCCGGGAGGGGAGGGGAAGAUAACCUGAAACCCUGUGUCUUCAAGCUGUGGGACCUCUUUAUCUGGG
Molecule: ribosomal RNA, 300 nt
Filed under: Anaerostipes hadrus
Lineage: Bacteria; Bacillati; Bacillota; Clostridia; Lachnospirales; Lachnospiraceae
Description: partial 23S ribosomal RNA
Rfam family: Bacterial large subunit ribosomal RNA
Source: RNAcentral